UUUCAGCAGCUUUCUUUCAUUCAACAACACUCCACUCCUUUGUUGCCACUCUCAAAAACCUAGCGCCGCAUACCCAUAUUCUUCAAAAAUCAACAAUGGUGAUUUCAGAUAUUAAACACCGAUCUCACAUCUUCAAAUACAACUUUCUCAUUUUCAGUUGUUCAUCAUCCAUUCAAAGCCAGUAUGUUAUUUUGCCUCCAUCGCUGUAUCUACAAAUAUCAAAUAUCAAACAGUGAAAUAUUAGGGUUAGGAGCAACGAGAGGAUGGGAUGCGACAUAGAAGGAUGGGAAUCCAGGUCUAGAUUCGACUUGCGAGGAUUGGGUCAAUUGGAAGAAGCUGUAAUGGUGGAUGCAUCAUAUUUUCAUUUGAUUCGGUCAACAGCUUCGAUCUACUAAUUUUUUUAUUUGAAUGCAUUCUUAAUGAUUCGUUAAUUAUAUUUGUGUAAUCUUGAUUUGUUAAUCCAUUGUUCAUCUUUUAGUGCAUCUAAAAAAUCAAAAUUCAAGAUACUAAGCGAAGGUUGUUUCAGAAUCUUUAUUUUCAUGAUUCAUUUGUGUUUGAGAUUAUGUAGUUUAAAUCAUGAAUAAUUUAGAUUCUUUUGGAUAUAAUAGAUGUAUGUUCAACUUUCCUUUUGGAUAUUCCAGACUUGUGGAUUUUAAGGGAGAGGCAUGUCUUUGAGUUUUAAAACCUAUGAAAUGUCUACUGUAUUUGAGUUUUAAUUGAUGUGGUUUUCUCUAAUCUGGCGUUCAAAUUCAUGCAGCUUCCUUUUCUUUUAGGUAGCACAAUUUGAAACCAGCUUGAUGUAUGUUAGCAUCAUUGUACUGAUCUAUUGUUUUAUGUGUGCCUUUCCCGAAUGAACUAAUGGUUUCUUUUUUUGUUUUGUUUUCUACUUUUUUGUUGGCAGCCUGAUAAAGUUUUUGCACAACCAACUCCUCUUUCAUGGUGACUGAUUUGCAUGAAUAUAUAGUUUGUUUACACUUUUUUCCCAUUUCUUCACUCUAAGUCGUGUUUGAGAUUCAAAGGAACAAGUAUCAGUAUGGUAUUGUGAAAUUACUCUUUUUUUCAAUAGAGAGAAAUAUAAUGUACAACUUAGAUCUUUUUGAUGUUCUUGAAUGAGGUUAUAUACUUCUAUAAAUGCUUUUAAGAAGAUAUAAUGUGAUCAAUAGCCUCAGCCCUAUAUUAAAAUUGAAGAUAGAAAUUUUACGACGAACUUUUUUUAUGGUAUUACGUUACCGAAGCUUUCUGUUCUCUUAAUUUAUUUUGUAUGUUAUUGAGAAGUGUGCUGGCACCGAUUGGUCAUUGGUCACCACAAAUGACGCGAAAAGAUAUUACUACAAUGCUAAAACCAAGCUGAGCAGCUGGCAAAUACCAGCAGAUGUGGCCAAGUUAAGAAAGACGCAGGAAAAUGAUGCUUUAAAAGAACAAUCAAAAUCAAUGCAUAACGUAACUACUUUAACUGAAAAAGGAUCCGGCCCAUUAAGCUUGAACGCCCCUGCUAUUACCACAUGUGGCUGUGAUGCCAUAUCUCCUGUCUCACCAUCUGCACUUGAUUGAUAAAAAAGAAACUGCAAGAUUCUGCAGCUCCUGCUACCAUUGGAUCUGACCUGAACGGUAGAAAAUGAAAAAAUGCAUGUUUUAUGCCGAUAGAUGCUGGUGCGGAACUGAAUAAUGACUUCUACCACUUUGUAAAGGUAAUAUCUUGCUUUUUAUAGCUUCGCUUGGCUUGGCUUGGUCUGGACAUGGCUUAUUUACAAAACAAGUCGACGCGGCUCAGUUCAUUUACAAGUGAUCCAACUACAACAAAUAAGGUUUUGUAUCGGUACUACAUCGGCUUUUAUUGACUUGCCAAGUUUUGAAAAACUUGAGAUGGAUAAGGAGUAGCUAGGCAACGUUCAGAAGGUCAUUUCGUGCUCUACUUGAUGUUGUCUUAUCAAAAAUUCACCGAAAACCGUGUUUUUGGUGCUCUUAAGGAAUAGUACCAGUGAACUUAUUGAUGCAAAAGUUGAAAUUUAGAAGAUUUGGGAGUGCGUCUGCAACAUUGUAAGGAAAUGCUACAAGAACAAGGUUCCUUUAUUACUUCGUCUGUUUUGCUGGAAUUGUGGUUGCAUCAACUCAUUGAACUCUAUACGUUUGAUGAUCAACAGUUAAGUCAGACAAAUGCAAACGUUUCUGAGGAGGUGGUGAUAAUUGAGAAUGGUCAACGUACUGUCUACCAAGUUUACAAUGAUGACAAGUAACAGUGUUGUUCAAAUCAAUAUUAAAAGUAAAAAAGGGCUAGACAAACUGAAGGAUGGUGAUUAUUUAAUGAAGAUGGGCAGUGGCGGAGCUACACUUUAAACAACGGUGUCGUCCGACACCAUUGAAUUUUGUGUAGCAAAUACAACGUAUAAUUGGAAAAAUUCGAGCGACACCAUUAUUUUUUACGAGCGACACCAUUGUUUUUUUACCAACGACACCAUUGUUUUGUUUUCUUCUAAAACAGUUAC
Long non-coding RNA from Helianthus annuus (common sunflower), 2483 nucleotides. RefSeq lists it as uncharacterized. NCBI's taxonomy places the organism in Eukaryota, Viridiplantae, Streptophyta, Magnoliopsida, Asterales, Asteraceae. The transcript has 9 exons. The record is from RefSeq and is a predicted model, not a curated record.